Molecule: ribosomal RNA, 292 nt
Filed under: uncultured bacterium
Lineage: Bacteria
Description: partial 16S ribosomal RNA
Rfam family: Bacterial small subunit ribosomal RNA
Source: RNAcentral
GUGCCAGCCGCCGCGGUAAUACGAAGGGUGCUAGCGUUGUUCGGAAUUACUGGGCGUAAAGCGUACGUAGGCGGCUUAGUAAGUCGAUUGUGAAAGCCCCAGGCUCAACUUGGGAACUGCAAUCGAAACUGCUUCGCUCGAGUUUGGUGGGGGAUAGUGGAAUUCCUAGUGUAGGGGUGAAAUCCGUAGAUAUUAGGAGGAACACCGGUGGCGAAAGCGACUAUCUACGCCAAUACUGACGCUAAGGUACGAAAGCGUGGGGAGCAAACAGGAUUAGAAACCCCUGUAGUCC